RNAcentral lists this ribosomal RNA (468 nucleotides) under uncultured bacterium. Its description in RNAcentral is "partial 16S ribosomal RNA". It matches the Rfam family "Bacterial small subunit ribosomal RNA", at positions 28 to 507 of the family's 1533-position model. The record is from RNAcentral.
GACGAACGCUGGCGGCGUGCUUAACACAUGCAAGUCGAACGGAAAGGCCCUGCUUUUGUGGGGUGCUCGAGUGGCGAACGGGUGAGUAACACGUGAGUAACCUGCCCUUGACUUUGGGAUAACUUCAGGAAACUGGGGCUAAUACCGGAUAGGAUCUCCUGCUGCAUGGUGGGGGUUGGAAAGUUUCGGCGGUUGGGGAUGGACUCGCGGCUUAUCAGCUUGUUGGUGGGGUAGUGGCUUACCAAGGGUUUGACGGGUAGCCGGCCUGGGAGGGUGACCGGCCACAUUGGGACUGCGAUACGGACCAGACUCCUACGGGAGGCAGUAGUGGGGAAUAUUGCGCAAUGGGCGGAAGCCUGAUGCAGCAACGCCGCGUGCGGGAUGACGGCCUUCGGGUUGUAAACCGAUUUCGACUGUGACGAAGCGUGAGUGACGGUAAUGGGUAAAGAAGCACCGGCUAACUACGUG